RNAcentral lists this ribosomal RNA (460 nucleotides) under uncultured bacterium. RNAcentral describes it as "partial 16S ribosomal RNA". It matches the Rfam family "Bacterial small subunit ribosomal RNA", at positions 338 to 795 of the family's 1533-position model. The record is from RNAcentral.
CCUACGGGAGGCAGCAGUGAGGAAUAUUGGUCAAUGGGCGCGAGCCUGAACCAGCCAAGUAGCGUGAAGGAUGACUGCCCUACGGGUUGUAAACUUCUUUUAUAAAGGAAUAAAGUGAGGCACGUGUGCCUUUUUGUAUGUACUUUAUGAAUAAGGAUCGGCUAACUCCGUGCCAGCAGCCGCGGUAAUACGGAGGAUCCGGGCGUUAUCCGGAUGUAUUGGGUUUAAAGGGAGCGUAGAUGGGUUGUUAAGUCAGUUGUGAAAGUUUGGGGCUCAACCGUAAAAUUGCAGUUGAAACUGGAAGUCUUGAGUGCAGUAGAGGUAGGCGGAAUUCGUGGUGUAGCGGUGAAAUGCUUAGAUAUCACGAAGAACUCCGAUUGCGAAGGCAGCCUACUGGACUGCAACUGACGUUGAGGCUCGAAAGUGUGGGUAUCAAACAGGAUUAGAUACCCGUGUAGUC